AACCUUGUUUUAAAAAAAUGCUUAUUUGCAAGUGUGUUUUUCGUUGAAAAUGAUAAUUAAUAAGUUUAUUUGACAUGACAUGGCGUCAAACAUUUUUAUCUACAUGAAAAUUUAUAAUUUUUACUGCAAAGAAACUUGCUCAUAGCCACCACUCACAGUUGAACACAAUGUGUAAAAUACGCAAAAUAAAAUUAAAAUUAAAAAAAACAACAACGCGCACACUGACACACUGAGUAAAACUGUAAUGAAAUUAUGUAACAUGAAAAUUAAACAAAAAGAAAAUAAAUUUAUGUAAAAAAAGAUAUCGAAAAAUGAUUGUAAAAUCUACAUGCGAGCGAGUGUAAUUUCGGCAAUAAUAAUUUUUAUUUUAAAUAUUUUCUUUAACACAUUGGGUGGAAUUUUUUGUCAUAUGACAUGACGCAAUUACAUAUAGUGAAAUAUUCGGUGAAAUUUUUAUCAUCAUCAUAACAAUAAUAAUAAUAAUUGAAAAAAAACCAUUUGAAUACAAAUUAAGAUUUCGUGUUCAUUAUGCGUCCGAAAUGAAAGAAAAGAAACAGAAUCUCCGAAACGUUCAAUGGCACUUUUAUUGAAAUGUAAGAAAAAGCGCGUCGUCCGGGUUGCAUUAUGAGAUUGAUUCCGUUCGUAU
Bradysia coprophila is the source of this 646-nucleotide long non-coding RNA. The record is from RefSeq and is a predicted model, not a curated record. NCBI's taxonomy places the organism in Eukaryota, Metazoa, Arthropoda, Insecta, Diptera, Sciaridae.